UACGGAGGAUGCAAGCGUUAUCCGGAAUCAUUGGGCGUAAAGCGUUCGUAGGUGGUUUUUCAAGUCUGCGGUGAAAUCACAAGGCUUAACCUUGUAAAGGCCGUGGAAACUGAAAUGGCUGGAGUGCGGUAGGGGUAGAGGGAAUUCCCAGUGUAGCGGUGAAAUGCGUAGAGAUUGGGAAGAACACCGGUGGCGAAAGCGCUCUACUGGGCCUGCACUGACACUGAGGGACGAAAGCUAGGGGAGCGAAAGGG
This 254-nucleotide ribosomal RNA is filed under the name uncultured bacterium. Its description in RNAcentral is "partial 16S ribosomal RNA". It matches the Rfam family "Bacterial small subunit ribosomal RNA", at positions 524 to 776 of the family's 1533-position model. The record is from RNAcentral.